UACAGCCAUAUCACAUUAAAACACCAGUUCCCAUAUGAUCAAAGUUAAGCAACAUUGAUCCUGGUCAGUACCUAGAUGGGUGACUACUUGGGAACACCAGGUGCUGUAAG
Non-coding RNA from Acanthosepion pharaonis, 110 nucleotides. Lineage: Eukaryota; Metazoa; Mollusca; Cephalopoda; Sepiida; Sepiidae. The record is from the annotation of a GenBank genome assembly.